This 505-nucleotide ribosomal RNA is filed under the name uncultured bacterium. RNAcentral's name for it is "bacterial SSU rRNA". It matches the Rfam family "Bacterial small subunit ribosomal RNA", at positions 15 to 518 of the family's 1533-position model. The record is from RNAcentral.
GAUCCUGGCUUAGGAUGAACGCUGGCGGCGUGCCUAACACAUGCAAGUCGAACGGAACUAAGCGCUUCGGAGACUUCGGUCAAUGUUUGCUUGGUUUAGUGGCGGACGGGUGAGUAACGCGUGGAUAACCUGCCUCAUACAGGGGGAUAACAGUUAGAAAUGACUGCUAAUACCGCAUAAGCGCACAGUUUCGCAUGGAACAGUGUGAAAAACUCCGGUGGUAUGAGAUGGAUCCGCGUCUGAUUAGCUAGUUGGCGGGGUAACAGCCCACCAAGGCGACGAUCAGUAGCCGGCCUGAGAGGGUGAACGGCCACAUUGGGACUGAGACACGGCCCAAACUCCUACGGGAGGCAGCAGUGGGGGAUAUUGCACAAUGGGGGAAACCCUGAUGCAGCGAACCGCCGCGUGAGUGAAGAAGUAUUUCGGUAUGUAAAGCUCUAUCAGCAGGGAAGAUAAUGACGGUACCUGACUAAGAAGCACCGGCUAAAUACGUGCCAGCAGCCGC